GUGUUCGUAGUGUAGUGGUCUGCACAUGACCCUGUGAAGGUUGAGGCGGCGGGUUCGAUUCCCCCCGAACACC
This 73-nucleotide transfer RNA is filed under the name Planctomycetaceae bacterium. Its description in RNAcentral is "tRNA-His". It matches the Rfam family "tRNA". Rfam says of the family: Transfer RNA (tRNA) molecules are approximately 80 nucleotides in length. The record is from RNAcentral. Lineage: Bacteria; Pseudomonadati; Planctomycetota; Planctomycetia; Planctomycetales; Planctomycetaceae.